GAUGAACGCUAGCGGGAGGCCUAACACAUGCAAGCCGAGCGGUAUUUGUUCUUCGGAACAGAGAGAGCGGCGCACGGGUGCGGAACACGUGUGCAACCUGCCUUUAUCUGGGGGAUAGCCUUUCGAAAGGAAGAUUAAUACCCCAUAAUAUAUUGAGUGGCAUCACUUGAUAUUGAAAACUCCGGUGGAUAGAGAUGGGCACGCGCAAGAUUAGAUAGUUGGUGAGGUAACGGCUCACCAAGUCAAUGAUCUUUAGGGGGCCUGAGAGGGUGAUCCCCCACACUGGUACUGAGACACGGACCAGACUCCUACGGGAGGCAGCAGUGAGGUAUAUUGGACAAUGGGUUAGCGCCUGAUCCAGCCAUCCCGCGUGAAGGACGACGGCCCUAUGGGUUGUAAACUUCUUUUGUAUAGGGAUAAACCUACUCUCGUGAGAGUAGCUGAAGGUACUAUACGAAUAAGCACCGGCUAACUCCGUG
Molecule: ribosomal RNA, 479 nt
Filed under: uncultured bacterium
Lineage: Bacteria
Description: partial 16S ribosomal RNA
Rfam family: Bacterial small subunit ribosomal RNA
Source: RNAcentral